RNAcentral lists this long non-coding RNA (777 nucleotides) under Homo sapiens (human). Its description in RNAcentral is "HSALNT0137472". The record is from RNAcentral. Lineage: Eukaryota; Metazoa; Chordata; Mammalia; Primates; Hominidae.
UCAGUGCUUAGUUCCUCAAAUGGCUGUGUUCUCUGCAUGGGCAAGGACACGGUUAACUUGGGAGUUUUAUCCCAGUGAAAGUAUGUACUUGAAUAUCUGCGUGUUCUGUUUACUGUGAAAGAACAGUCAUAAAGAACGAAGGAAAUCUUGCCUUUGGCACAUAAAGCCUAUCCAAGGAGGCUGGAGCUAUGGAGGGAAAGCCAGAAGAGCAUUUGCAGACUGGCUGAGGCACUUUGCCAUCUUGCACCCACAGAGUGUGCGUAGGAUGUGCCCAGUGUCCCCAGCUCUGCACCAGCUGCUUCCCAAGAAGACCUGGCUGAGCUGCAAUGUCAGAGUCUGACACUGAUGGAGCUACAUUUCAGAAGUGAACAACUUAGAAGACGGUGUGCAUCCACUCUUCUUCCUCAUGGUCCUGUUCCAGGGCUGUGAAGCAAGCCAAUAGCCUUUGGAGAUGUAACCCCAGGGGCCAGUUAUAUAUCUGCAGGACAUGCUUUAUUCUGCAGUGGACAAAAUCUAUAUUGAGGGUCCCUUAGGUCUUUGUUGCUUACUGCAAUACAGUUUACAAAAAUCCUUGUAUCUUUGGGGGUAGGAGGUGCUUUCCCAGAUUAAUAAAAUUGUCUAUCUCUCUCUCUUUUUUUUUUUUUUGAGAACAGGCUCGCUCUGUUGCCCAGGCUGGAGUGCAGUGGCAUGGUCUUGGCUCACUGCAACCUCCACCUCCCAGGUUGAAGCAAUUCUCCUACCUCAGCCUCCUGAGUAGCUGGGACUAUAGGCACACAC